UGGAUCCAGACUUUGAUCAUGGCUCAGGAUGAACGCUAGCUACAGGCUUAACACAUGCAAGUCGAGGGGCAGCAUGGUCUUAGCUUGCUAAGGCCGAUGGCGACCGGCGCACGGGUGAGUAACACGUAUCCAACCUGCCGUCUACUCUUGGACAGCCUUCUGAAAGGAAGAUUAAUACAAGAUGGCAUCAUGAGUCCACAUGUUCACAUGAUUAAAGGUAUUCCGGUAGACGAUGGGGAUGCGUUCCAUUAGAUAGUAGGCGGGGUAACGGCCCACCUAGUCUUCGAUGGAUAGGGGUUCUGAGAGGAAGGUCCCCCACAUUGGAACUGAGACACGGUCCAAACUCCUACGGGAGGCAGCAGUGAGGAAUAUUGGUCAAUGGGCGAGAGCCUGAACCAGCCAAGUAGCGUGAAGGAUGACUGCCCUAUGGGUUGUAAACUUCUUUUAUAAAGGAAUAAAGUCGGGUAUGCAUACCCGUUUGCAUGUACUUUAUGAAUAAGGAUCGGCUAACUCCGUGCCAGCAGCCGCGGUAAUACGGAGGAUCCGAGCGUUAUCCGGAUUUAUUGGGUUUAAAGGGAGCGUAGAUGGAUGUUUAAGUCAGUUGUGAAAGUUUGCGGCUCAACCGUAAAAUUGCAGUUGAUACUGGAUAUCUUGAGUGCAGUUGAGGCAGGCGGAAUUCGUGGUGUAGCGGUGAAAUGCUUAGAUAUCACGAGGAACUCCGAUUGCGAAGGCAGCCUGCUAAGCUGCAACUGACAUUGAGGCUCGAAAGUGUGGGUAUCAAACAGGAUUAGAUACCCUGGUAGUCCACACGGUAAACGAUGAAUACUCGCUGUUUGCGAUAUACUGCAAGCGGCCAAGCGAAAGCGUUAAGUAUUCCACCUGGGGAGUACGCCGGCAACGGUGCAA
This 906-nucleotide ribosomal RNA is filed under the name uncultured organism. RNAcentral's name for it is "bacterial SSU rRNA". It matches the Rfam family "Bacterial small subunit ribosomal RNA", at positions 1 to 899 of the family's 1533-position model. The record is from RNAcentral.